RNAcentral lists this ribosomal RNA (468 nucleotides) under uncultured bacterium. RNAcentral's name for it is "partial 16S ribosomal RNA". It matches the Rfam family "Bacterial small subunit ribosomal RNA", at positions 28 to 507 of the family's 1533-position model. The record is from RNAcentral.
GACGAACGCUGGCGGCGUGCUUAACACAUGCAAGUCGAACGGAAAGGCCCUGCUUUUGUGGGGUGCUCGAGUGGCGAACGGGUGAGUAACACGUGAGUAACCUGCCCUUGACUUUGGGGUAACUUCAGGAAACUGGGGCUAAUACCGGAUAGGAGCUCCUGCUGCAUGGUGGGGGUUGGAAAGUUUCGGCGGUUGGGGAUAGACUCGCGGCUUAUCAGCUUGUUGGUGGGGUAGUGGCUUACCAAGGCUUUGACGGGUAGCCGGCCUGAGAGGGUGACCGGCCACAUUGGGACUGAGAUACGGCCCAGACUGCUACGGGAGGCAGCAGUGGGGAAUAUUGCACAAUGGGCGGAAGCCUGAUGCAGCAACGCCGCGUGCGGGAUGACGGCCUUCGGGUUGUAAACCGCUUUCGCCUGUGACGAAGCGUGAGUGACGGUAAUGGGUAAAGAAGCACCGGCUAACUACGUG